Molecule: long non-coding RNA, 210 nt
Organism: Fukomys damarensis (Damara mole-rat)
Lineage: Eukaryota; Metazoa; Chordata; Mammalia; Rodentia; Bathyergidae
Exons: 3
Source: RefSeq, a predicted model, not a curated record
CUCACAUCUGCCUGGCUGCAUCUUCCUACUGGAAUCCGUUCUACCGCUGAUGGGAAACUGAGGCCCAGAGGGUGAGGAGCUUGACCUGGGGUGAAAUCACCUGCCUGGGACCACACAGGACUUGGACUGGAGACAAAUCCUGGGGAUGAAAGGAAAGGUGCCCUGGAGCUGGCCCGAGGCCAUAUGGUAGACCAUCUUGCCACCUUCUCC